Molecule: long non-coding RNA, 2929 nt
Organism: Oncorhynchus mykiss (rainbow trout)
Lineage: Eukaryota; Metazoa; Chordata; Actinopteri; Salmoniformes; Salmonidae
Source: Ensembl
AAUCUGAGGGGAGAUUUGGGGCAUGUUCCUGUGAUGCUGCCAUCCUGGUAAUUCCAUUUCUUAAUCUGAGGGGAGAUUUGGGGCAUGUUCCUGUGAUGCUGCCAUCCUGGUAAUUCCAUUUCUUAAUCUGAGGGGAGAUUUGGGGCAUGUUCCUGUGAUGCUGCCAUCCUGGUAAUUCCAUUUCUUAAUCUGAGGCUGAGGGGAGAUUUGGGGCAUGUUCCUGUGAUGCUGCCACUUUGGUCUCUCCACAUCAAAUGACUGCUGUGCAGACACACACACACACACACACACACACACACACACACACACACACACACACACACACACACACACACACACACACUAUUAUAUACAUCACAACAAGUCAUUAUGGUCUUCAUCACAACAAGUCAUUAUGGUCUUCAUCACAACAAGUCAUUAUGGUCUUCAUCACAACAAGUCAUUAUGGUCUUCAUCACAACAAGUCAUUAUGGUCUUUAUCACAACAAGUCAUUAUGGUCUUCAUCACAACAAGUCAUUAUGGUCUUCAUCACAACAAGUCAUUAUGGUCUUCAUCACAACAAGUCAUUAUGGUCUUCAUCACAACAAGUCAUUAUGGUCUACAUCACAACAAGUCAUUAUGGUCUUCAUCACAACAAGUCAUUAUGGUCUUCAUCACAACAAGUCAUUAUGGUCUUCCUGUGUUCUUCAUCACAACAAGUCAUUAUGGUCUUCAUCACAACAAGUCAUUAUGGUCUUCAUCACAUCAAGUCAUUAUGGUCUUCAUCACAACAAGUCAUUAUGGUCUUCAUCACAACAAGUCAUUAUGGUCUUCAUCACAACAAGUCAUUAUGGUCUUCAUCACAUCAAGUCAUUAUGGUCUUCAUCACAACAAGUCAUUAUGGUCUUCAUCACAACAAGUCAUUAUGGUCUUCAUCACAACAAGUCAUUAUGGUCUUCAUCACAACAAGUCAUUAUGGUCUUCAUCACAACAAGUCAUUAUGGUCUUCAUCACAACAAGUCAUUAUGGUCUUCAUCACAACAAGUCAUUAUGGUCUUUAUCACAACAAGUCAUUAUGGUCUUCAUCACAACAAGUCAUUAUGGUCUUCAUCACAACAAGUCAUUAUGGUCUUCAUCACAACAAGUCAUUAUGGUCUUCCUCACAACAAGUCAUUAUGGUCUUCAUCACAACAAGUCAUUAUGGUCUUCAUCACAACAAGUCAUUAUGGUCUACAUCACAAGUCAUUAUGGUCUUCAUCACAACAAGUCAUUAUGGUCUUCAUCACAACAAGUCAUUAUGGUCUUCCUGUGUUCUUCAUCACAACAAGUCAUUAUGGUCUUCAUCACAACAAGUCAUUAUGGUCUUCAUCACAUCAAGUCAUUAUGGUCUUCAUCACAACAAGUCAUUAUGGUCUUCAUCACAACAAGUCAUUAUGGUCUACAUCACAACAAGUCAUUAUGGUCUUCAUCACAACAAGUCACUAUGGUCUUCAUCACAACAAGUCAUUAUGGUCUUCAAGUGUUCUUCAUCACAACAAGUCAUUAUGGUCUUCAUCACAACAAGUCAUUAUGGUCUUCAUCACAUCAAGUCAUUAUGGUCUUCAUCACAACAAGUCAUUAUGGUCUUCAUCACAACAAGUCAUUAUGGUCUUCAUCACAACAAGUCAUUAUGGUCUUCAUCACAACAAGUCAUUAUGGUCUUCAUCACAACAAGUCAUUAUGGUCUUCAUCACAACAAGUCAUUAUGGUCUUCAUCACAACAAGUCAUUAUGGUCUUUAUCACAACAAGUCAUUAUGGUCUUCAUCACAACAAGUCAUUAUGGUCUUCAUCACAACAAGUCAUUAUGGUCUUCAUCACAACAAGUCAUUAUGGUCUUCCUCACAACAAGUCAUUAUGGUCUUCAUCACAACAAGUCAUUAUGGUCUUCAUCACAACAAGUCAUUAUGGUCUACAUCACAAGUCAUUAUGGUCUUCAUCACAACAAGUCAUUAUGGUCUUCAUCACAACAAGUCAUUAUGGUCUUCCUGUGUUCUUCAUCACAACAAGUCAUUAUGGUCUUCAUCACAACAAGUCAUUAUGGUCUUCAUCACAUCAAGUCAUUAUGGUCUUCAUCACAACAAGUCAUUAUGGUCUUCAUCACAACAAGUCAUUAUGGUCUACAUCACAACAAGUCAUUAUGGUCUUCAUCACAACAAGUCACUAUGGUCUUCAUCACAACAAGUCAUUAUGGUCUUCAAGUGUUCUUCAUCACAACAAGUCAUUAUGGUCUACAUCACAACAAGUCAUUAUGGUCUACAUCACAACAAGUCAUUAUGGUCUUCAUGUGUUCUCCAUCACAACAAGUCAUUAUGGUCUUCAUCACAACAAGUCAUUAUGGUCUUCAUCACAACAAGUCAUUAUGGUCUUCCUCACAACAAGUCAUUAUGGUCUUCAUCACAACAAGUCAUUAUGGUCUUCAUCACAACAAGUCAUUAUGGUCUUCAUCACAACAAGUCAUUAUGGUCUUCAUCACAACAAGUCAUUAUGGUCUACAUCACAACAAGUCAUUAUGGUCUUCAUGUGUUCUCCAUCACAACAAGUCAUUAUGGUCUUCCUGUGUUCUCCAUCACAACAAGUCAUUAUGGUCUUCCUGUGUUCUCCAUCACAACAAGUCAUUAUGGUCUUCAUCACAACAAGUCAUUAUGGUCUUCAUCACAACAAGUCAUUAUGGUCUUCAUCACAACAAGUCAUUAUGGUCUUCAUCACAACAAGUCAUUAUGGUCUUCCUGUGUUCUCCAUCACAACAUGACUAUUCUGUAAGGUGUGUGAUAUAUUCUACAGUCUGUCACCUGUGGGGGUCAAAGGAGGCUUGUGACGACUCAUAAUGAAUGAUUAUGAAAAGGUCAUUUUAAUUACCAGACACUCAGCAACAACCCCAGGACACUGACCCUUCAUUAACCACACAGGGG